Molecule: ribosomal RNA, 414 nt
Filed under: uncultured bacterium
Lineage: Bacteria
Description: bacterial SSU rRNA
Rfam family: Bacterial small subunit ribosomal RNA
Source: RNAcentral
AGAGUUUGAUCCUGGCUCAGAUUGAACGCUGGCGGCAUGCUUUACACAUGCAAGUCGAACGGUAACAGGGAGCUUGCUCCGCUGACGAGUGGCGAACGGGUGAGUAAUGCAUCGGAACGUGCCUAUUUGUGGGGGAUAACGUAGCGAAAGUUACGCUAAUACCGCAUACGCCCUGAGGGGGAAAGCGGGGGAUUCGUAAGAACCUCGCGCAAUUAGAGCGGCCGAUGUCGGAUUAGCUAGUUGGUGGGGUAAAGGCUCACCAAGGCGACGAUCCGUAGCGGGUCUGAGAGGAUGAUCCGCCACACUGGGACUGAGACACGGCCCAGACUCCUACGGGAGGCAGCAGUGGGGAAUUUUGGACAAUGGGCGAAAGCCUGAUCCGGCCAUGCCGCGUGAGUGAAGAAGGCCUUCGGG